This 497-nucleotide ribosomal RNA is filed under the name uncultured bacterium. RNAcentral describes it as "partial 16S ribosomal RNA". It matches the Rfam family "Bacterial small subunit ribosomal RNA", at positions 28 to 507 of the family's 1533-position model. The record is from RNAcentral.
GAUGAACGCUGGCGGCGUGCCUAAUACAUGCAAGUCGAGCGAACGGACGAGAAGCUUGCUUCUCUGAUGUUAGCGGCGGACGGGUGAGUAACACGUGGAUAACCUACCUAUAAGACUGGGAUAACUUCGGGAAACCGGAGCUAAUACCGGAUAAUAUUUUGAACCGCAUGGUUCAAAAGUGAAAGACGGUCUUGCUGUCACUUAUAGAUGGAUCCGCGCUGCAUUAGCUAGUUGGUAAGGUAACGGCUUACCAAGGCAACGAUGCAUAGCCGACCUGAGAGGGUGAUUGGCCACACUGGAACUGAGACACGGUCCAGACUCCUACGGGAGGCAGCAGUAGGGAAUCUUCCACAAUGGGCGAAAGCCUGACGGAGCAACGCCGCGUGAGUGAUGAAGGUCUUCGGAUCGUAAAACUCUGUUAUUAGGGAAGAACAUAUGUGUAAGUAACUGUGCACAUCUUGACGGUACCUAAUCAGAAAGCCACGGCUAACUACGUG